GUUUGUGCCUCUUUGAAGUAUUUGCACCGCUAUUUGAUAAGUUCCUACGUGGAACGGAACGUUCCACAGCUGUCAAAAUAAUUUUACAGAACCUAUUGUAAUUGUUUAAGGGUUCAUUGACAUCAUACUCGAAAUCCAAAAGUAAUCGAUUAACAGUUUCAGAAUAAAGAUCCCAAUUAACGAGACGUAGGUUUAUACGAUUUAACAAAAGUUUAUUAACUUCAUCUAUAGGAGCAUGUUGUUCACCUGACGGAGUUGAUGAAGAGUUCUUUGUGUUUAUUUUAGUAAAAGUCGGCAGAUGCUGCAACGCUCAGAAUUCUUACAGAAUUUAGCUAAAUGUCCAUACCUCAAGCACCGGUAGCAUUGUUUAACUGGUGGUAUAUAUGGAGUGACAUUGUGGCGCCAACCUCCAAUAUCCAGAUAUUCAGGUAAUACAGAUGCAGCAAAAGUAAUUGUCACGGUUAGAGUUGGCUGUAACACAUAUCCAUGAGUCAAGGUAUUUUUUCUUAAAAUUCUUUUAAUAGCAAUAAUUUUCUUAGAACUCGAUAUCAUAGUAUAUAUUUUUUUAUUAGAUAUAUUUGUAGGUACAUUUCUAAUAACGCCUGUAACUUCUGUUGAAGAAGCAGGAAUACUGGCCUUAAAAUGGUAGUCAUUUAAAAAAGUUUUAUUAUUUAAAAAAGCAUUGGCUAAGUCUGGCUUUUGAAAGUAUACUCCGAUUUUGAAUUUAUUUAUAGAUCUAAGAUAAGUUACCCCUUUAUUAAAUCGUUUUAAACAGGAGGAGAGUGAGAGCAAGUCUCUGGAUCCAAUGGUUUUCUGACUAUCUGAGGAUUCUACAAAGACAACAAAUUCUGUCCCAGGGGAUUCCUCGGGAUAUCUUCUAAUAUAAUCUGUGACGUAGUAAGGUUUAUACUUAUCGGCCUUAUCAAUUUCAGAUUCUGAGUCAGUAGAAGUAUCUUCCGAAUAUAUAUCCUUGUCAUUACAAGGUUCAUGGUCUACAUCACCUGAAUCGUCAUCUUUUUUUUUCCUUUUUCUACAACUGCGCUUCCCCAUGAAUGCUAAUUAUAUUACUGUCGCUGAAUUUAGUGAAAAUAUAAUAUUUUAUUAAAUAAUAAGAAUUGAUAGAGAUAGUUUUAAUAAAUUAAUAAAAAAAAUUUAAAAAA
Long non-coding RNA from Galleria mellonella (greater wax moth), 1160 nucleotides. RefSeq lists it as uncharacterized. The transcript has 2 exons. NCBI's taxonomy places the organism in Eukaryota, Metazoa, Arthropoda, Insecta, Lepidoptera, Pyralidae. The record is from RefSeq and is a predicted model, not a curated record.